AAACAUUUAUUAAAAAUGAUAUUGCAACUAUUUGAAUAAAAUAAAAAUAUUCAAUAAAAUGUUCUAAUUUCUUGUAAAACAAUAUUUAUAGAGUCAUCGGUAAAUAAUUUUUGUAAUGUAAAAGCUAAAUAAAUUCAUACGUACUAUAAUACAGAUAACCGGGAUAUGAAAUUUACUUUAUAGUGACUCAUGGGCCCACAAGAAACAAAAGUGCACAAAGGCAGUAAACCUAUAGUUUUUGGAGUAGUAAAGCCGACUAUAA
RNAcentral lists this long non-coding RNA (262 nucleotides) under Theobroma cacao (cacao). Its description in RNAcentral is "long non-coding RNA (TCAC_LNC001654)". Lineage: Eukaryota; Viridiplantae; Streptophyta; Magnoliopsida; Malvales; Malvaceae. The record is from RNAcentral.